RNAcentral lists this ribosomal RNA (460 nucleotides) under uncultured bacterium. RNAcentral describes it as "partial 16S ribosomal RNA". It matches the Rfam family "Bacterial small subunit ribosomal RNA", at positions 338 to 795 of the family's 1533-position model. The record is from RNAcentral.
CCUACGGGAGGCAGCAGUGAGGAAUAUUGGUCAAUGGGCGAGAGCCUGAACCAGCCAAGUCGCGUGAAGGAUGACGGCCCUACGGGUUGUAAACUUCUUUUGUCAGGGAGCAAUUGGGUCCACGCGUGGGCUUAGCGAGAGUACCUGAAGAAAAAGCAUCGGCUAACUCCGUGCCAGCAGCCGCGGUAAUACGGAGGAUGCGAGCGUUAUCCGGAUUUAUUGGGGUUAAAGGGUGCGUAGGCGGAAUAUCAAGUCAGCGGUAAAGAUUCGGGCGUCAACCCCGUCGUGCCGUUGAAACUGAUGUUCUUGAGUCCGCGGAAAGCAGGCGGAAUUCGUCGUGUAGCGGUGAAAUGCUUAGAUAUGACGAAGAACCCCGAUUGCGAAGGCAGCUUGCUGCAGCGGAACUGACGCUGAUGCUCGAAAGCGCGGGUAUCGAACAGGAUUAGAUACCCGUGUAGUC